GAGGGCGGGCCGGCCCCCGAAGAGAGGCGAGGGUGAGGCAGGCGAAGCGGCGGCUCCUCCCAAAGCAAGUCACCUCCUUGCCAGAAUGUUUAAGAGCGGUUCCAGACAGCACUUUAUCACGGGCUUUAGUGAAGGGCAAAAAGUCCAGGGACUUCAGGAGAUGUCCACAUACACACCUGUUGGUUCUGGGAUUUCUGCCUCUGCUGUCCAGACGUCAUGCUUUGUCUCAAGAUAGUGCCAAGGUAACUAGAGGCUCCCAAGAUGGCUGCCAGAGGCAGGACUUCUGCUGGAAACUGGCAGUUUUUUUAAAAACCAUUGUGGGUUGCGGAUAUAUGGAUAUGUGGACGUUCAGAUAUAUGGUGAACCACAAAAAUUCCAUCGUUUGUCCUGGCCUCAAAAACAAUUCCCUUCAGACGUUUCAUGAAGUUUCUCUCGCACUUACAAACCUCAUGGGGUAAAAACACUACUGCCCGAGUCAGCAGUACACAAACAGGUACACACAUUUUAAAGCCAGAAACAGAACUUUGUAAUUAUCUACUAUUUUUAGAGCCUGGCUACCUGGCCAUCUGGCCAGACAGAUUUGAUUGUAUACUUGUGGCAUCCAACAACAGGGUUUUAUUCAACUUUCAAUAUUGGAGGAUACGGUGUCUUUUGGGUUGCUCCAACAGAGCUACCUGUAUUUUUGGCACUUUCCCCCAUCUAAUGGGGCAGGGCAUCAGCCUGCGUUCUCCUGAUUCCCCCGUGAAAUGCAGGAGGGAGGGAAGGCACAUAGGUUGCCGCAAGUCACCACACGUGCCUUCUUGAAUAGCAGAGAGGGGGCAUCAAUCUGAUGAAGACCUUUAACUUCCCUAUCAAUACUCUAUAUAAUCCUGGAGUUUGCAUUUUAGAAAAGGCAUUUAACAUUUUCAACCAGAGAGCUCUUGGUCCACACUAAAUUCCAUAAUUCCUGAGGAUGUUGUCAUGGAAGUUAAAAUGGAAUAUAGUUCUACUAACUGUCCCCUGCCACGCGUUGCUGUGGUCCAGUCUGUUGAUCUGAAAAAUAAAGUAAUGAAAAAGUGUUGGUUUCUAA
Anolis sagrei ordinatus is the source of this 1069-nucleotide non-coding RNA. The record is from RefSeq and is a predicted model, not a curated record. NCBI's taxonomy places the organism in Eukaryota, Metazoa, Chordata, Lepidosauria, Squamata, Anolidae.